UACGGAGGGAGCUAGCGUUGUUCGGAAUUACUGGGCGUAAAGCGCACGUAGGCGGCUUUGUAAGUUAGAGGUGAAAGCCCGGGGCUCAACCCCGGAAUUGCCUUUAAGACUGCAUCGCUUGAAUCCGGGAGAGGUGAGUGGAAUUCCGAGUGUAGAGGUGAAAAUUCGUAGAUAUUCGGAAGAACACCAGUGGCGAAGGCGGCUCACUGGACCGGUAUUGACGCUGAGGUGCGAAAGCGUGGGGAGCAAACAGG
Molecule: ribosomal RNA, 254 nt
Filed under: uncultured bacterium
Lineage: Bacteria
Description: partial 16S ribosomal RNA
Rfam family: Bacterial small subunit ribosomal RNA
Source: RNAcentral